GUAGGUGGCAAGCGUUGUCCGGGAAUUAUUGGGGCGUAAAGCGCGCGCAGGCGGUUCUUUGAGUCUGAUGUGAAAGCCCACGGGCUCAACCGUGGAGGGUCAUUGGAAACUGGAGAACUUGAGUACAGAAGAGGAAAGCGGAAUUCCACGUGUAGCGGUGAAAUGCGUAGAGAUGUGGAGGAACACCAGUGGCGAAGGCGGCUUUCUGGUCUGUAACUGACGCUGAGGCGCGAAAGCGUGGGGAGCAAACAGGAUUAGAUACCCUGGUAGUCCACGCCGUAAACGAUGAGUGCUAAGUGUUAGGGGGUUUCCGCCCCUUAGUGCUGCAGCUAACGCAUUAAGCACUCCGCCUGGGGAGUACGGCCGCAAAGGCUG
Molecule: ribosomal RNA, 375 nt
Filed under: uncultured organism
Description: partial 16S ribosomal RNA
Rfam family: Bacterial small subunit ribosomal RNA
Source: RNAcentral